AACGCACCUUGCGCUCCUUGGUAUUCCGAGGAGCAUGCCUGUUUGAGUGUCAUGGAAUUCUCAACCAUGUCUUGAUUGACUUCGAGGCAUGGCUUGGAUGUGGGGGUUGCUGGCGGUGAAAGCUGUCGGCUCUCCUGAAAUGCAUUAGCGAUGGACAGCAAGUCUGACGUGCACGGCCUCGACGUGAUAAUGAUCGUCGUAGCUGGAGCGUCGGACGAGCGCAAUAUGUCCCUUUGCUUCCAAUCCUUUGACUUGGGAAUAGGACUUUCGAGCGAAGCUUUAGUUACUAGUCGGUCGUGAGGCCGACGAACGCAGGGCGGGAUCGAAGGUCGGGAAGCCCCUCGUCUUUCUUGACGACUUGACCUCAAAUCAGGUAGGACUACCCGCUGAACUUAA
Molecule: unclassified non-coding RNA, 396 nt
Filed under: uncultured Boletaceae
Lineage: Eukaryota; Fungi; Basidiomycota; Agaricomycetes; Boletales; Boletaceae
Description: sequence contains ITS2
Rfam family: 5.8S ribosomal RNA (bases 1-52)
Source: RNAcentral